CCUACGGGAGGCAGCAGUGGGGAAUUUUGGACAAUGGGCGCAAGCCUGAUCCAGCAAUGCCGCGUGCAGGAUGAAGGCCUUCGGGUUGUAAACUGCUUUUGUACGGAACGAAACGGUCUGCUCUAAUACAGUGGGCUAAUGACGGUACCGUAAGAAUAAGCACCGGCUAACUACGUGCCAGCAGCCGCGGUAAUACGUAGGGUGCGAGCGUUAAUCGGAAUUACUGGGCGUAAAGCGUGCGCAGGCGGUUAUAUAAGACAGAUGUGAAAUCCCCGGGCUCAACCUGGGACCUGCAUUUGUGACUGUAUAGCUAGAGUGCGGCAGAGGGGGAUGGAAUUCCGCGUGUAGCAGUGAAAUGCGUAGAUAUGCGGAGGAACACCGAUGGCGAAGGCAAUCCCCUGGGCCUGCACUGACGCUCAUGCACGAAAGCGUGGGGAGCAAACAGGAUUAGAUACCCUGGUAGUCCACGCCCUAAACGAUGUCAACUGGUUGUUGGGUCUUCACUGACUCAGUAACGAAGCUAACGCGUGAAGUUGACCGCCUGGGGAGUACGGCCGCGAAGGUUGAAACGUCAAAUGAAUUGACGG
This 587-nucleotide ribosomal RNA is filed under the name uncultured bacterium. RNAcentral describes it as "bacterial SSU rRNA". It matches the Rfam family "Bacterial small subunit ribosomal RNA", at positions 338 to 916 of the family's 1533-position model. The record is from RNAcentral.